GACGAACGCUGGCGGCGUGCUUAACACAUGCCAGUCGAACGGAAAGGCCCUGCUUUUGUGGGGUGCUCGAGUGGCGAACGGGUGAGUAACACGUGAGUAACCUGCCCUUGACUUUGGGAUAACUUCAGGAAACUGGGGCUAAUACCUGAUAGGAGCUCCUGCUGCAUGGUGUGGGUUGUAAAGUUUCGGCGGUUGGGGAUGGUCUCGCGGCUUAUCAGCUUGUUGGUGGGGUAGUGGCUUACCAAGGCUUUGACGGGUAGCCGGCCUGAGAGGGUGACCGGCCACAGUGGGACUGAGAUACGGCCAAGAGUGCUACGGGAGGCAGCAGUGGGGAAUAUUGCAAAAUGGGCGGAAGCCUGAAGCAGCAACGCCGCGUGCGGGAUGACGGCCUUCGGGUUGUAAACCGCUUUCGCCUGUGACGAAGAGUGAGUGACGGUAAUGGGUAAAGAAGCACCGGCUAACUACGUG
Molecule: ribosomal RNA, 468 nt
Filed under: uncultured bacterium
Lineage: Bacteria
Description: partial 16S ribosomal RNA
Rfam family: Bacterial small subunit ribosomal RNA
Source: RNAcentral